RNAcentral lists this ribosomal RNA (251 nucleotides) under uncultured prokaryote. RNAcentral describes it as "partial 16S rRNA". It matches the Rfam family "Bacterial small subunit ribosomal RNA", at positions 525 to 775 of the family's 1533-position model. The record is from RNAcentral.
ACGAAGGGGCCAAGCGUUGUUCGGAAUUAUUGGGCUUAAAGCGCAUGCAGGCGGGAAGUUAAGUGUUUUGUGAAAUCCCUCGGCUUAAACGAGGACUAGCGGGGCAAACUGGCUUUCUUGAGGGAAGUAGGGGUGUAUGGAACUCUAGGUGGAGGGGUGAAAUGCGUAGAUAUCGGGAGGAACGCCAGCGGAGAAAUCGGUGCACUGGACUUGUUCUGACGCUGAGGUGCGAAAGCGUGGGUAGCGAACUG